Molecule: long non-coding RNA, 459 nt
Organism: Quercus lobata
Lineage: Eukaryota; Viridiplantae; Streptophyta; Magnoliopsida; Fagales; Fagaceae
Exons: 3
Source: RefSeq, a predicted model, not a curated record
CUAUACCAUAUUCUGUACACCUGGUUAGCCCACAGAGAGAGAGAGAGAGAGAUGAAAUGCCACUUCCUCAGCGGUCUUCAUGUACCACCGAAUUUUAGUUUGUGGAUCAGAUAUUUCAUAUGAAAGCCAUUGCAAACGGAAACCCCUAAAUGUGCAGGGUUUAAAAAAUGUUGUGAUAUGAGGUAGACCUUAAAAAUCUCUCCGAAUAGACCGUAGCUCGUAUGGGCUAUUACCCCAUUGCUUCAAAAAGAUAAGUAGGCAUUGCUCCCACGGCCAACAUAAAUACAUAAUUCUUCCAGUGGCAAAGAUGACUCAAUUAUCGAUCUCUAUGACAACGAAAUACCAAACAUCGGCCUUGCAUCUGGGGAUCUUCAUACAACAACCUCAACAAAUUACUCAAGAAAUGGAACCAACCAUAAACAUCAAGUUGUAGAGAGCAGCUACUGGAUGAAACCACAC